This 55-nucleotide transfer RNA is filed under the name Alboglossiphonia lata. RNAcentral's name for it is "tRNA-Glu". The record is from RNAcentral. Lineage: Eukaryota; Metazoa; Annelida; Clitellata; Rhynchobdellida; Glossiphoniidae.
AUGUAGUGUAAAAAACACAUUAACUUUUCAUGUUAAAAAUAUAUUAAAUAUCAUA